GCGAAUGGCUCAUUAAAUCAGUUAUCGUUUAUUUGAUAGUACCUUACUACAUGGAUAACCGUGGUAAUUCUAGAGCUAAUACAUGCUAAAAACCCCGACUUCGGAAGGGGUGUAUUUAUUAGAUAAAAAACCAAUGCCCUUCGGGGCUCUCUGGUGAUUCAUAAUAACUUAACGAAUCGCAUGGCCUUGCGCCGGCGAUGGUUCAUUCAAAUUUCUGCCCUAUCAACUUUCGAUUGUAGGAUAGAGGCCUACAAUGGUAUCAACGGGUAACGGGGAAUUAGGGUUCGAUUCCGGAGAGGGAGCCUGAGAAACGGCUACCACAUCCAAGGAAGGCAGCAGGCGCGCAAAUUACCCAAUCCCGACACGGGGAGGUAGUGACAAUAAAUACUGAUACAGGGCUCUUUUGGGUCUUGUAAUUGGAAUGAGUACAAUCUAAAUCCCUUAACGAGGAACAAUUGGAGGGCAAGUCUGGUGCCAGCAGCCGCGGUAAUUCCAGCUCCAAUAGCGUAUAUUAAAGUUGUUGCAGUUAAAAAGCUCGUAGUUGAACCUUGGGCCUGGCUGGCCGGUCCGCCUCACCGCGUGCACUGGUUCGGCCGGGCCUUUCCUUCUGGGGAACCGCAUGCCCUUCACUGGGCGUGUUGGGGAACCAGGACUUUUACUUUGAAAAAAUUAGAGUGUUCAAAGCAGGCCUUCGCUCGAAUACAUUAGCAUGGAAUAAUAGAAUAGGACGUGCGGUUCUAUUUUGUUGGUUUCUAGGACCGCCGUAAUGAUUAAUAGGGAUAGUCGGGGCCAUCCGUAUUCAAUUGUCAGAGGUGAAAUUCUUGGAUUUAUUGAAGACGAACUACUGCGAAAGCAUUUGGCAAGGAUGUUUUCAUUAAUCAGUGAACGAAAGUUAGGGGAUCGAAGACGAUCAGAUACCGUCGUAGUCUUAACCAUAAACUAUGCCGACUAGGGAUCGGACGGUGUUAUUAUUUUGACCCGUUCGGCACCUUACGAGAAAUCAAAGUCUUUGGGUUCUGGG
This 1021-nucleotide ribosomal RNA is filed under the name Sphaceloma asclepiadis. RNAcentral describes it as "SSU rRNA". It matches the Rfam family "Eukaryotic small subunit ribosomal RNA", at positions 89 to 1118 of the family's 1831-position model. The record is from RNAcentral. Lineage: Eukaryota; Fungi; Ascomycota; Dothideomycetes; Myriangiales; Elsinoaceae.